CCCUACGGGGCGCAGCAGUGAGGAAUAUUGGUCAAUGGGCGGGAGCCUGAACCAGCCAAGCCGCGUGAAGGAAGAAGGCGCCAAGCGUCGUAAACUUCUUUUGUCGGGGAACAAAGGGCGCCACGUGUGGCGUUGUGAGUGUACCCGAAGAAAAAGCAUCAGCUAACUCCGUGCCAGCAGCCGCGGUAAUACGGAGGAUGCGAGCGUUAUCCGGAUUUAUUGGGUUUAAAGGGUGCGUAGGCGGGCUGUUAAGUCAGCGGUCAAAUGUCGGGGCUCAACCCCGGCC
This 286-nucleotide ribosomal RNA is filed under the name uncultured bacterium. RNAcentral's name for it is "partial 16S ribosomal RNA". It matches the Rfam family "Bacterial small subunit ribosomal RNA", at positions 337 to 620 of the family's 1533-position model. The record is from RNAcentral.